RNAcentral lists this ribosomal RNA (328 nucleotides) under uncultured eukaryote. RNAcentral's name for it is "partial 18S ribosomal RNA". It matches the Rfam family "Eukaryotic small subunit ribosomal RNA", at positions 1470 to 1796 of the family's 1831-position model. The record is from RNAcentral.
CCCUUAGAUGUCCUGGGCCGCACGCGCGUUACACUGAUGCAUUCAACGAGCUUAUAACCUUGGCCGAGAGGCCUGGGCAAUCUUGUUAACGUGCAUCGUGAUAGGGAUAGAUUAUUGAAAUUAUUAAUCUUGAACGAGGAAUUCCUAGUAAACGCAGAUCAUCAAUCUGCAUUGAUUACGUCCCUGCCCUUUGUACACACCGCCCGUCGCACCUACCGAUUGGAUGGUCCGGUGAAGCCUCGGGAUUGUGGUUCUUGCCGCUUUAUUGUGGCGUGACCGCGAGAACUUGUCGAAACCUGAUCAUCUAGAGGAAGGUGAAGUCGUAACA